GGCCCCCAUUACCCAGCAGUUGCCAGGAGAGUCAGAUGCAGAGUAUGCAGAGUUCUCUUCAAAGGUGUUGCACUUGAAAGGUGACAGGCAAGACUUUGAUUUCGUUAAGACAAGCCUUGCGGCAAAGGGCUUCGAUGUUGUUUACGACAUAAACGGGAGAGAAGCUGUUGAGGUAGCCCCAAUCCUAGACGCAUUGCCGAACCUUGAACAGUACAUCUACUGCUCAUCAGCAGGAGUGUACCUGAAAUCAGACCUGCUCCCGCACUUCGAGACCGACGCCGUCGACCCGAAGAGCCGGCACAAGGGGAAGCUGGAGACGGAGAG
Molecule: unclassified non-coding RNA, 324 nt
Filed under: Hevea brasiliensis (rubber tree)
Lineage: Eukaryota; Viridiplantae; Streptophyta; Magnoliopsida; Malpighiales; Euphorbiaceae
Source: RNAcentral